CGCACAUUGCGCCCACUUGUAUUCCGAUGGGCAUGCACGUUCGAGCGUCAUCAAACACCCUCAAGUUUGACUUGGUAUUAGGCUGUGCUGGGAAACAGCUAGCUUUAAAAUCAGUGGCGGCCCUACCUGGCUCUAAGCGUAGUAAUUUUCUCGCUCUUGGGUCUGGUAGUUGCUUGCCAACAACCCCUAAUUUCAAUGUUUGACCUCGGAUCGUGUAGGAGUACCCGCUGAACUUAA
RNAcentral lists this unclassified non-coding RNA (237 nucleotides) under fungal sp. RNAcentral describes it as "partial contains 5.8S ribosomal RNA, internal transcribed spacer 2, and large subunit ribosomal RNA". The record is from RNAcentral. Lineage: Eukaryota; Fungi.